GCUAUUUUCGUUUAAAUUGGUAGUUGAUGUGAAAAAGUGUGUGUUGACAUGCAUGUAACCAAAUCAUGUAUUAAUGUGAGGUACUACAUAUACUUGCUUAUCUCUUUCCAGAAGCACAGCCCUCUUGAUCCAACUAGGAACAUCAAAACCAAAUGGGAUAUCAUUGAGUGGACUUCAGUUGGGUCUUGCCAAGAUCUGGGGAUGAAGGGAAGAAGAAUAAUUUAACUAAACAGUGAAGAAGAUCAAGGAGAAGGAUGGCAGAAGUGAGUUCAAAAGGGAGAUCAUUGAUGUCUACUACACAAC
Triticum dicoccoides is the source of this 303-nucleotide long non-coding RNA. RefSeq lists it as uncharacterized. The transcript is spliced from 3 exons. The record is from RefSeq and is a predicted model, not a curated record. NCBI's taxonomy places the organism in Eukaryota, Viridiplantae, Streptophyta, Magnoliopsida, Poales, Poaceae.